GCUUUCUUUAGCUUGCUAUUGAAAGUGGAGGAGCGGCGAAAGGGAGAGUAACGCGUGGAUCAUCUACCCCCAGGUUCGGGAUAGCUGCGGGAAACUGCAGGUAAUACCGAAUAAUGUCUCCGGACCAAAGGUGAGAUUCCUCCUGGGGAUGAGUCCGCGUCCUAUUAGCUUGUUGGUAAGGUAACGGCUUACCAAGGCAUUGAUGGGUACCGGGUGUGAGAGCAUGGCCCGGCUCACUGGGACUGAGACACUGCCCAGACACCUACGGGUGGCUGCAGUCGAGAAUCUUCGGCAAUGGACGCAAGUCUGACCGAGCGACGCCGCGUGCGGGAUGAAGGCCCUCGGGUUGUAAACCGCUGUCAGAGGGGAUGAAAGGCGCAGGGGGUCCUCCCCCUGGUUUGACAUAUCCUCAGAGGAAGUACGGGCUAAGUUCGUGCCAGCAGCCGCGGUAAGACGAACCGUACAAACGUUAUUCGGAAUCACUGGGUUUAAAGGGUGCGUAGGCGGCUUGGCAAGUUGGGUGUGAAAUCCCUCGGCUCAACCGAGGAACUGCGCUCAAAACUGCCAGGCUAGAGGGAGAUAGAGGUGAGCGGAACUUA
RNAcentral lists this ribosomal RNA (599 nucleotides) under uncultured bacterium. RNAcentral describes it as "bacterial SSU rRNA". It matches the Rfam family "Bacterial small subunit ribosomal RNA", at positions 68 to 670 of the family's 1533-position model. The record is from RNAcentral.